GGAUGUGAGGGCAACUGGCUGUGACGUCUGUCGCCCCAUUGAUCAUCAGGGUUGAUUUGGCUGAUCUGGCUGGAUAGGUGAGUGUCCCCUUCUUCCCUCACUGUUCCAUGUGUGCCCUUCUUGAUGCUGCAUGCUCAGUUGAAGAGGACAGCCUUCCUGGAAUAGACAGACCGUACUUUGGUCGAAGGUAUAUGAGUAGCUGUGCUCCCCUUCUAGAACCUCCAAAAAAGCUCUCAAGAAUAGAAGGGGAAACACAAAGUAGAACUUGUACUGCAUUUGAUGUGUUGCUCCAA
This 293-nucleotide small nuclear RNA is filed under the name Erinaceus europaeus (western European hedgehog). RNAcentral describes it as "7SK RNA". It matches the Rfam family "7SK RNA". From Rfam's summary of the family: 7SK was discovered as an abundant small nuclear RNA in the mid-70s but a possible function has only recently been suggested. Two independent studies have found that 7SK RNA binds the CDK9/cyclin T complex (known as elongation factor P-TEFb). The record is from Rfam by way of RNAcentral. Lineage: Eukaryota; Metazoa; Chordata; Mammalia; Eulipotyphla; Erinaceidae.